This 245-nucleotide ribosomal RNA is filed under the name uncultured Porphyromonadaceae bacterium. RNAcentral describes it as "partial 16S ribosomal RNA". It matches the Rfam family "Bacterial small subunit ribosomal RNA", at positions 524 to 768 of the family's 1533-position model. The record is from RNAcentral. Lineage: Bacteria; Pseudomonadati; Bacteroidota; Bacteroidia; Bacteroidales; Porphyromonadaceae.
UACGGAGGAUGCGAGCGUUAUCCGGAUUUAUUGGGUUUAAAGGGUGCGUAGGCGGGCUUUUAAGUCAGCGGUGAAAGUUUGCGGCUCAACCGUAAAAUUGCCGUUGAAACUGGAGGUCUUGAGUAUAGACGAGGUAGGCGGAAUGUAACGUGUAGCGGUGAAAUGCUUAGAUAUGUUACAGAACUCCGAUUGCGAAGGCAGCUUACCAGGCUAUGACUGACGCUGAGGCACGAAAGCGUGGGUAU